AUAUACUCCUAGUGACUAGAUUUUCAUGAACUGAUCCCAUUAGAAAUGCUAUGAGUAAUGAUUGCUUGGGGAUCUUAAGACAUCUAUGGUGCAGUGUGCAUCCCCUUUAUUUUUUUUAUUUUUUUUUACCACGUAACGCAUUUAAAAUCAUCUUUGUAAACUAUGGCAAAUGUAAAAGCCAUUCUCUGUAUCAGUCUAUUAAUAUGGUAAUCAAUUUUAUUGUAUGUUUUUCUUUCACUGUAUCUUUGUUGCUUUUGAUUAUUGAGUUGUUGCUUAAUAACUGUUAUUUUACUCCUCUCUUGUUAUCAAUCUUAAUAUUUUUUCUGAACUCUGCAUUCAGUUCUACUGUAUUCUUGUUGAUUUUAUUGUAUUGUAAAGCGCUUUGGGACACUGUGUAAAAGGUGCUGUUUAAAUAAAUACACUUUAAACCUUUAGAUAGACAGAGAUCAAAAAGGAUAUUUUUGUGGCAGCAAAUGGAAUCAAAUUAUACAGAGCAGUCGCCUCCAAGUCUCUGAAAUUCCACAUUACCCAAUGUUAUUAAACAGUAAUGAAAAACAAACCUUGCUCAACAAUGGGACAACUGUUCCCAAUUUAUGUUUGCAGCUGUGGAUUUAAGUCCCAGUAAAGCUUAAAGAAAAAAACAGUAAUCUGAAAUCACUUCAGGAAUGGGGGUUUCAGGCCUGUAGAUUUAUCAGAACUUGUUAUUAUUGUGCAGAUUUUGGCAUAAGGAUUCCCAUUGGCCAUAUUGAUUAUCAGAUCAAUGGAGGAAAAGACCAGCCUGGUUGCACUACGUCACAAACGUCAUAGUCUCAUCACAUUCUUGUGGAUCUGCAUGUAAGUCAACUGAGAAGCAGCAGUCGUAUCCAGGUGACUCUCAAGAGUAAAGGGGUUACCCAGUAGCAUAGCCAGGUUAAACUACAGAAAGGUGUUACAGGGUUUAAAAUGGUGAUGGCUCACUCAACAAUGCUGUGUAAAAUAGACUCCAUUGAACUGAAGAAUACAGGCACUCGGUUCUACCGAAAAGAUGAAAUUAACAUUGUGAAAAUCUGCAUUUCAGAAGUCCCUUCUGACAGGAAGGAAUCUCUCUGCAUUGAGAACAUUGAGCUUAAGGAAGGCAAUCCAUGGUCCCAUGACUUUGUGAAGCUCUGUAACUAGGAAAGAACUACUGAGUUCAUAACACAAGACAUCCCUGAACAAAAACCAACAUAUCGGAGGCCUCACUGACCCAGUUCAAUGUGUAUGCUAAAGAAGUAAUGUAAAGUAAUAGAAGUUUGCCUUUUUUAUGUUAUGCAGUAGUUGCAUUUUUCUGUAUUGUCGAUCCUAAAAAAAAAAAAUAUUCAUGCAAGUCUUCUUGAAAAACUAAUAUUUAAUUUGUAUUCUGCUUCUCUUCAGAUAAUGCUUAUAAAGUUGCUUAACUAAUCCCAUAUGUCAAUUCCUGAUAAUAAUAUUUUUUCUAUGAUAAUGAACGUA
RNA transcript from Acipenser ruthenus (sterlet), 1470 nucleotides. It is a transcript of the gene named phospholipase A1 member A-like, with no coding region annotated. The record is from RefSeq and is a predicted model, not a curated record. Lineage: Eukaryota; Metazoa; Chordata; Actinopteri; Acipenseriformes; Acipenseridae. The transcript is spliced from 4 exons.